CCUACGGGAGGCAGCAGUGGGGAAUCUUCCGCAAUGGGCGCAAGCCUGACGGAGCAACGCCGCGUGAGUGAAGAAGGUCUUCGGAUCGUAAAGCUCUGUUGAUGGGGACGAACGUGCCUAAUGCGAAUAGUAUUAGGUAAUGACGGUACCCAUCGAGGAAGCCACGGCUAACUACGUGCCAGCAGCCGCGGUAAUACGUAGGUGGCGAGCGUUGUCCGGAAUCAUUGGGCGUAAAGGGAGCGCAGGCGGGCAUGUAAGUCUUUCUUAAAAGUGCGGGGCUCAACCCCGGGAUGGGAAAGAAACUAUGUGUCUUGAGUACAGGAGAGGAAAGCGGAAUUCCCAGUGUAGCGGUGAAAUGCGUAGAUAUUGGGAGGAACACCAGUGGCGAAGGCGGCUUUCUGGACUGCAACUGACGCUGAGGCUCGAAAGCCAGGGGAGCGAACGGGAUUAGAUACCCCAGUAGUC
RNAcentral lists this ribosomal RNA (465 nucleotides) under uncultured Selenomonas sp. RNAcentral describes it as "bacterial SSU rRNA". It matches the Rfam family "Bacterial small subunit ribosomal RNA", at positions 338 to 795 of the family's 1533-position model. Lineage: Bacteria; Bacillati; Bacillota; Negativicutes; Selenomonadales; Selenomonadaceae. The record is from RNAcentral.